RNAcentral lists this ribosomal RNA (253 nucleotides) under uncultured bacterium. RNAcentral's name for it is "partial 16S ribosomal RNA". It matches the Rfam family "Bacterial small subunit ribosomal RNA", at positions 524 to 776 of the family's 1533-position model. The record is from RNAcentral.
UACGAAGGGGGCUAGCGUUGCUCGGAAUUACUGGGCGUAAAGCGCACGUAGGCGGGUCAUUAAGUCAGGGGUGAAAGCCCACAGCUCAACUGUGGAACUGCCUUUGAUACUGGUGACCUAGACCAAAGUAGAGGCAGGUGGAAUUCCGAGUGUAGAGGUGGAAUUCGUAGAUAUUCGGAGGAACACCAGUGGCGAAGGCGGCCUGCUGGACUUUUGGUGACGCUGAGGUGCGAAAGCGUGGGGAGCAAACAGG